AUGGGUUGAGAUGGUGGUGAGUGGUGGGUGAGGGUGAGCUAUUGCUUUGAUUUCAAGUGAAACUUUAAAGAGUGUGACAAUGUACAGUAACUAACAGAUUGAGGAUAUGGCAGUUGGCCACCUAAUCAAACAAGCAGUGAAAGCAACAUUAUCCUUUUGUCAUGUUAGGCAACAACAAUUUGCUUUAGUCAAUAUUGUCGUGACUCGUGAGAGUAUUUCAUUCUUAAUUAAAUAUUUUUAUUUUAAA
Solanum lycopersicum (tomato) is the source of this 247-nucleotide long non-coding RNA. RefSeq lists it as uncharacterized. The record is from RefSeq and is a predicted model, not a curated record. NCBI's taxonomy places the organism in Eukaryota, Viridiplantae, Streptophyta, Magnoliopsida, Solanales, Solanaceae.